This 497-nucleotide ribosomal RNA is filed under the name uncultured bacterium. Its description in RNAcentral is "partial 16S ribosomal RNA". It matches the Rfam family "Bacterial small subunit ribosomal RNA", at positions 28 to 507 of the family's 1533-position model. The record is from RNAcentral.
GAUGAACGCUGGCGGCGUGCCUAAUACAUGCAAGUCGAGCGAACAGACGAGGAGCUUGCUCCUCUGACGUUAGCGGCGGACGGGUGAGUAACACGUGGAUAACCUACCUAUAAGACUGGGAUAACUUCGGGAAACCGGAGCUAAUACCGGAUAAUAUAUUGAACCGCAUGGUUCAAUAGUGAAAGACGGUUUUGCUGUCACUUAUAGAUGGAUCCGCGCCGCAUUAGCUAGUUGGUAAGGUAACGGCUUACCAAGGCAACGAUGCGUAGCCGACCUGAGAGGGUGAUCGGCCACACUGGAACUGAGACACGGUCCAGACUCCUACGAGAGGCAGCAGUAGGGAAUCUUCCGCAAUGGGCGAAAGCCUGACGGAGCAACGCCGCGUGAGUGAUGAAAGUCUUCGGAUCGUAAAACUCUGUUAUUAGGGAAGAACAAAUGUGUAAGUAACUAUGCACGUCUUGACGGUACCUAAUCAGAAAGCCACGGCUAACUACGUG